UACGGAGGGUGCAAGCGUUAUCCGGAUUUACUGGGUUUAAAGGGUGCGUAGGCGGCUUUUUAAGUCAGUGGUGAAAUCCUAGUGCUCAACACUAGAACUGCCAUUGAAACUGAAGAGCUUGAGUCAAGGAGAGGUAAGCAGAAUUUAUGGUGUAGCAGUGAAAUGCUUAGAUACCAUAAGGAAUACCGAUAGCGAAGGCAGCUUACUGGCCUUGCACUGACGCUGAGGCACGAAAGCGUGGGGAGCAAAC
This 250-nucleotide ribosomal RNA is filed under the name uncultured bacterium. RNAcentral describes it as "partial 16S ribosomal RNA". It matches the Rfam family "Bacterial small subunit ribosomal RNA", at positions 524 to 773 of the family's 1533-position model. The record is from RNAcentral.